AUUGAACGCUGGCGGCAGGCCUAACACAUGCAAGUCGAGCGGAUGAAGGGAGCUUGCUCCUGGAUUCAGCGGCGGACGGGUGAGUAAUGCCUAGGAAUCUGCCUGGUAGUGGGGGAUAACGUCCGGAAACGGGCGCUAAUACCGCAUACGUCCUGAGGGAGAAAGUGGGGGAUCUUCGGACCUCACGCUAUCAGAUGAGCCUAGGUCGGAUUAGCUAGUUGGUGGGGUAAAGGCCUACCAAGGCGACGAUCCGUAACUGGGCUGAGAGGAUGAUCAGUCACACUGGAACUGAGACACGGUCCAGACUCCUACGGGAGGCAGCAGUGGGGAAUAUUGGACAAUGGGCGAAAGCCUGAUCCAGCCAUGCCGCGUGUGCGAAGAAGGUCUUCGGAUUGUAAAGCACUUUAAGUUGGGAGGAAGGGCAGUAAGUUAAUACCUUGCUGUUUUGACGUUACCAACAGAAUAAGCACCGGCUAACUUCGUG
RNAcentral lists this ribosomal RNA (484 nucleotides) under uncultured bacterium. RNAcentral's name for it is "partial 16S ribosomal RNA". It matches the Rfam family "Bacterial small subunit ribosomal RNA", at positions 30 to 507 of the family's 1533-position model. The record is from RNAcentral.